This 450-nucleotide long non-coding RNA is filed under the name Olea europaea subsp. europaea. Lineage: Eukaryota; Viridiplantae; Streptophyta; Magnoliopsida; Lamiales; Oleaceae. The record is from RNAcentral.
UCGACUUGUUGCAUGACCAUAAUUUCCAUAUUUGUUGUGUUGUAUAAGUAGUACUAACGUGUAGUUUUAAUGAAUGAAGAUUAGGAAAGGGGCUGAGCUGUCAAACUGACACGCGACUUCGUUCUUGAUGCAGGGCUCUUGGCUGGUUAAACAUGCAUCUUUCUAUUUCCUUGUGAUAUGUUAGUUUAAUAUGGCGAGUAAUAAAUAAUUAUUGCUGCUUUUGUUGCUAUGUACCAGUUGUAAACAAUCAGGAUUUUGAGUUUCAGUAUCUUUUGAAGAAAAUUGUUGCUUUCCUGUUAUGUCCUGCUAACAUUUGAGAGAUUUCGAUAGAUGCAAAUCUUUUUAAUUUAGCUCCUAUGCAUACUGCUCUAUUUUUUUUUCAUUCUGGCUGAAGUUCUAUUUAUCACCUGGUGAAAUGCUAUCUUGGUGCAAUCUGUGAUGUUAUGGGGU